RNAcentral lists this small RNA (460 nucleotides) under Pongo abelii (Sumatran orangutan). RNAcentral's name for it is "retained intron". Lineage: Eukaryota; Metazoa; Chordata; Mammalia; Primates; Hominidae. The record is from RNAcentral.
AUUUAAAAUUGUAAUUUCAGUAGCAACUGCAACUUGAAACUUUUAUAUGGGAAGUAUUGUUACUUAUAAAGUAUUUGCUCUUUUCUAGGCAGCUAUUUUUGCUAUGAUAAUCCUGCUGCCCUUCAGACUCAAGUUAAACGAGAUAUGCAAGUGAAUACCACGAAAUUCAUGCUGCUGUAUGCCUGGUAUUCUUGGCCCAAUGUAGUUUUGUGUUUCUUUGGUGGCUUUUUGAUAGACCGAGUAUUUGGAAUACGAUGGGGCACAAUCAUUUUUAGCUGCUUUGUUUGCAUUGGACAGGUUGUUUUUGCCCUGGGUGGAAUAUUUAAUGUUUUUUGGCUGAUGGAAUUUGGAAGAUUUGUAUUUGGGAUUGGUGGAGAGUCCUUAGCAGUUGCCCAGAAUACAUAUGCUGUGAGCUGGUUUAAAGGCAAAGAGUUAAACCUGGUGUUUGGACUUCAACUUA